GAUGAACGCUGGCGGCGUGCCUAAUACAUGCAAGUCGAGCGAACAGACGAGGCGCUUGCUGCUCUGACGUUAGCGGCGGACGGGUGAGUCACGCGUGGAUAACGUACCUAUAAGACUGGGAUAACUUCGGGACACCGGAGCUAAUACCGGAUAAUAUAUUGAACCGCAUGGGUGAAUAGUGAAAGACGGCUGUGCUGUCACUUAUAGAUGGAUACGGGCUGGAUUGGCUGGUUGGUAAGGUAACGGCUUACGAAGGGGAGGAUGCGUAGCCGACCUGAGAGAGGGAUAGGCCACAUGGGAACGUAGACACGCACCAGACUCCUACGGGAGGCAGCAGAAGGGAACGGUACGCAAUGGGCGAGAACAUGACGGAGUGACGCCGAGUGAGUGGUGACGGUGUUCGGAUCGUAAUACUCUGUUAUUAGGGAUAAACAAAUGUGUAAGGAACUGUGGACUUCUUGACGGUACCUAGUCAGAAAGCCCCGGCUAACUACGUG
This 497-nucleotide ribosomal RNA is filed under the name uncultured bacterium. RNAcentral's name for it is "partial 16S ribosomal RNA". It matches the Rfam family "Bacterial small subunit ribosomal RNA", at positions 28 to 507 of the family's 1533-position model. The record is from RNAcentral.